UAGGGAAUCUUCCGCAAUGGACGCAAGUCUGACGGAGCAACGCCGCGUGAGUGAAGAAGGAUUUCGGUUCGUAAAACUCUGUUGUUAGAGAAGAACAGCGCAUAGAGUAACUGUUAUGCGUGUGACGGUAUCUAACCAGAAAGCCACGGCUAACUACGUGCCAGCAGCCGCGGUAAUACGUAGGUGGCAAGCGUUGUCCGGAUUUAUUGGGCGUAAAGCGAGCGCAGGCGGUUAAUUAAGUCUGAUGUGAAAGCCCCCGGCUCAACCGGGGAGGGUCAUUGGAACCUGGUUGACUUGAGUGCAGAAGAGGAGAGUGGAAUUCCAUGUGUAGCGGUGAAAUGCGUAGAUAUAUGGAGGAACACCAGUGGCGAAGGCGACUCUCUGGUCUGUAACUGACGCUGAGGCUCGAAAGCGUGGGUAGCAAACAGG
Molecule: ribosomal RNA, 429 nt
Filed under: Bacteroidota bacterium
Lineage: Bacteria; Pseudomonadati; Bacteroidota
Description: Bacteroidetes bacterium partial 16S ribosomal RNA
Rfam family: Bacterial small subunit ribosomal RNA
Source: RNAcentral